UGGGGAAUAUUGCACAAUGGGCGCAAGCCUGAUGCAGCCAUGCCGCGUGUGUGAAGAAGGCCUUCGGGUUGUAAAGCACUUUCAGUGGUGAGGAAGGUCAGUAAGUUAAUAGCUUGCUGAAUUGACGUUAGCCACAGAAGAAGCACCGGCUAACUCCGUGCCAGCAGCCGCGGUAAUACGGAGGGUGCAAGCGUUAAUCGGAAUUACUGGGCGUAAAGCGUACGUAGGCGGUGUGUUAAGCAAGAUGUGAAAGCCCCGGGCUCAACCUGGGAAUUGCAUUUUGAACUGGCACGCUAGAGUCCUGAAGAGGGUGGUAGAAUUUCCAGUGUAGCGGUGAAAUGCGUAGAUAUUGGAAGGAAUACCAGUGGCGAAGGCGGCCACCUGGUCAGAGACUGACGCUGAGGUACGAAAGCGUGGGGAGCAAACAGG
RNAcentral lists this ribosomal RNA (429 nucleotides) under uncultured bacterium. RNAcentral's name for it is "bacterial SSU rRNA". It matches the Rfam family "Bacterial small subunit ribosomal RNA", at positions 355 to 776 of the family's 1533-position model. The record is from RNAcentral.